RNAcentral lists this transfer RNA (71 nucleotides) under Antodynerus aff. limbatus GX. RNAcentral describes it as "tRNA-Leu". RNAcentral also lists the same sequence under 2 other names. The record is from RNAcentral. Lineage: Eukaryota; Metazoa; Arthropoda; Insecta; Hymenoptera; Vespidae.
UAUAAUAUGGCAGAUUCAAGUGUAUUGGUUUUAAACACCAACCAUAAAGAUUUAUUAAUCUUUUAUUAUAA